RNAcentral lists this ribosomal RNA (665 nucleotides) under Brevibacterium sp. HPC 905. Its description in RNAcentral is "bacterial SSU rRNA". It matches the Rfam family "Bacterial small subunit ribosomal RNA", at positions 54 to 709 of the family's 1533-position model. The record is from RNAcentral. Lineage: Bacteria; Bacillati; Actinomycetota; Actinomycetes; Micrococcales; Brevibacteriaceae.
CCAACAGGUCGGGCGUAGGGCGUAAAUCGGUACCCGGAGGGUUGGAUGCUGGCCCCGAUGGUUGAGUGGGGGACGGGUGAGUAUCACGUGAGUAACCUGCCCCUGACUUCGGGAUAAGCCCGGGAAACUGGGUCUAAUACCGGAUACGACUGCCGGACGCAUGUCUGGUGGUGGAAAGUUUUUUCGGUUGGGGAUGGGCUCGCGGCCUAUCAGUUUGUUGGUGAGGUAAUGGCUCACCAAGACGACGACGGGUAGCCGGCCUGAGAGGGCGACCGGCCACACUGGGACUGAGACACGGCCCAGACUCCUACGGGAGGCAGCAGUGGGGAAUAUUGCACAAUGGGGGAAACCCUGAUGCAGCGACGCAGCGUGCGGGAUGACGGCCUUCGGGUUGUAAACCGCUUUCAGCAGGGAAGAAGCGCAAGUGACGGUACCUGCAGAAGAAGUACCGGCUAACUACGUGCCAGCAGCCGCGGUAAUACGUAGGGUACGAGCGUUGUCCGGAAUUAUUGGGCGUAAAGAGCUCGUAGGUGGUUGGUCACGUCUGCUGUGGAAACGCAACGCUUAACGUUGCGCGUGCAGUGGGUACGGGCUGACUAGAGUGCAGUAGGGGAGUCUGGAAUUCCUGGUGUAGCGGUGAAAUGCGCAGAUAUCAGGAGGAACAC